AUUGUAGGCUGAAACUCGCCUACAUGAAGCUGGAGUUACUAGUAAUCGCAGAUCAGAAUGCUGCGGUGAAUGCGUUCCCGGGUCUUGUACACACCGCCCGUCACACCACGGAAGUUGGGGCGCCCGAAGCCACUUAGCUAACCCAUUUGGGAAGCGAGUGUCGAAGGUGAAAUCAAUAACUGGGGUGAAGUCGUAACAAGGUAUC
This 205-nucleotide ribosomal RNA is filed under the name uncultured bacterium. RNAcentral's name for it is "partial 16S ribosomal RNA". It matches the Rfam family "Bacterial small subunit ribosomal RNA", at positions 1297 to 1500 of the family's 1533-position model. The record is from RNAcentral.